CGGACUUCAAACAGCCGAUUUGAUUGUCACAUUUUUGAAAAAGGGGAAAGCGGCGGAGGUGUCACGAUGUCUUCUGUAUAUGGGAGUCGGUGAUUGGUACGAGUACGGGUUUGCUACUUAGAACCCAACCACGGAGAUCAAACACUUGGUCAAGCGAAUUGGUGGGUAUUAGAGGAUUAGAGGAGGGCCGCCUGGGCGUUGCAGUGACUAAUGAUUGGACAACGGGCAAAAUAUCAAAGAGCCAUGGCUUGCCUCAACAACUGACUCACCCCACUGGUCGGGGCACGCUAAUUUUUGCAGCAAUGCGGUGACAACGGAACGUCUGUGUGUUUAGUCUUUCAACAGAAAAAUGCGGCACAUAAACAAAAUCACAAUCAAAAGCGCUGCAGAAGCAAAAGCUGAAUCUGAAACGCCGACCAGACUCUCGGACAACCCACUCCCUUUUUGGGGCGCCACUAUGGCGGCUUUGUAAGCGCUAAAUUGUAGGAUGGAGUAGGAUUUUCCAGGGGAAUGUGCCUCGACAGAAAGAGAACAAGAGUGUGGACUUUCAUUGAAGAAAGUUUGUGGCAAAUUGAUUUAAAAUAAAUGGAAAUACACAUUGGCAGUACGUGCCUAGCUGCCGUGGCACAGGUGGCGUAUACGUAAUGCUCAACCACUGAUUUCAUCUGUAUCCCAUUGCCAAGGAAACCAAAGUCAAGUGGAUUGGCUUGCGCUUUACUUUUAUACACCUACAUUACUUAUGAAGUGAACAGCUUUAAGUAGUUGAGAGGCAUUUACAUUUAUCAAUACCAGUGGUUACUUAAAAGAGUGUUAGCAUCAAAAGUCACCGCUGUAAACACUAAAAAAUCAGAAACGUUAUACAUUCUGGACAUAUAUAAUUUUUAGCCUGCAGCUGAAAUAUUGAGUGACAUUUUACCAUCCUAGUAAUUCAGUUCUGUGCUCUUCUCGAUUCUAUGGAACGGGUUUGUUUGCUGACUUCGUUUUCCACCCAAGUGCACCAAAUCGUAAAUUUUGUAUGCCAUUUUGUGGCAGAGGCGGGUAGCGGAAAGAAAGUGGCAAAAAGAGUGAAAACAAUGGCAGUUGCGCCGGAUGAACUUGCAUUUACAUGUAACUCCAAGUCUAUUGGGGAAACAGUGAGUCGAAUUGUGCAUUAAAGUUGCACACGAGUGUCGGUUGAAUCGAACUCGAUUUGCGGCACCCCGAAGUGCAGAGAG
Molecule: long non-coding RNA, 1214 nt
Filed under: Drosophila melanogaster (fruit fly)
Lineage: Eukaryota; Metazoa; Arthropoda; Insecta; Diptera; Drosophilidae
Description: long non-coding RNA:CR46061 (Dmel_CR46061)
Source: RNAcentral